ACGGCGGAAAGGCGCCGGGAGCGAUUGCCAGAUCGCGCGCGGGGCCCCGCGCGCCCCGUCCCCCGCCCACCUCCGCGAGUACUUCACCCAACAAGUCCCGGGGGCGCAGACCCACCUCCUCCUCCAGGGUACCGCUGGAGCCCGAGCCCGUGCCGGUGCCCGUGCUGGUGCCGUGCUCGCCGUCCGGCUUCAGGUGCCCUUUGGAACCUGAGAAAAGGAUCCCACCCUCGCCAUUGUGGAAGGAAGGAGGAUGCUCACAGUAGAGGGUACACUACAGAAGACAACUGAGUGCGGGCCCACCUGCCCAGCCGCACAGCUUGCAGCAGAGAGAUGAAGGUCUCGUCCGUCUGCCUCCACACCUCUGUCAGCUCCAGGGUCACUGGGACACAUCUCCUCCAGCUCUUGGCCUGGUGGGGGCAAGUGGGGCGUCAGGGAGCAGAGCAGACCCCCAUGGGGGUUAGGGCCAGAGGGUACGUUCACUGGCUUAUAUGCAGCCAAGCAGGUCUCACUAUUCCCCGUGUACAGAAGUGGAAAACAGGCUGAGAGAGGCCACAACGGCUGGUAGGAGUCAGGGCUUGUGUGAUUCUGAAGCCCCGGCGCUUCCCAUCUCCAAGGUGGGAUGGGGUAGAAAAUAUUUGGCUAGGGAAAUCGCGGAGGGACUCUGGCGUCCGGGUUUCCGUUCACCCUCCGUCUGACCCACUCGUACGCACCCUCCCGGUAGGGACCCCUUGAAGAAGCAGGCGCUCUGCCUCCCACCUCUAGGAUCGGGUGAACACUCACUUGCGCCAGCACUCGGACGAACAAGCUGAGCAAUGUCGGCAUGCAGUCAAAAGUAGGACACUAGAAACUUUCAAAUACUGGGUGUAGAGAAUCACCCUAUCACCGGCCGGAUCUUUAAAUUUUCCAGCCAAUCAGAGACAGCGGGCGUGACAACGGGAGUGUCUUUCUUUGGGUUUCAACUCUCGGGGCUUGGGCUGUACCAAUAGCACCCCGGAGG
This is a long non-coding RNA of Eubalaena glacialis (North Atlantic right whale), 997 nucleotides long. RefSeq lists it as uncharacterized. The record is from RefSeq and is a predicted model, not a curated record. Lineage: Eukaryota; Metazoa; Chordata; Mammalia; Artiodactyla; Balaenidae. The transcript has 4 exons.